UGGGCCAUUCCAGUUAAUAUCUGCUAAAGGGGGAUGGAUGGUCUUUUUUGAGGGGUGUAAAAUUUUUACAUCUUAGGGGUGAAAUUUUGGGUUUUUUCAUCUGACAGGUACACUUAUACGAAAAAACAUUCUGAGGGUCUUGGCAGCAGUAAAUAAUCAAAAAUGAUUACAUCUUACAUAUGUAGGGGUAACAAAAAUGCCUAUGUCAGAUCUGAUAGGUGCUUUGAAAUGUAGACAAUUUCGUAUCUUGCAUCAUCUGGUAUUGUUUUUAAAAUUCUGAUGGGUAUAAUCC
RNAcentral lists this long non-coding RNA (292 nucleotides) under Mytilus galloprovincialis (Mediterranean mussel). Lineage: Eukaryota; Metazoa; Mollusca; Bivalvia; Mytilida; Mytilidae. The record is from RNAcentral.